This 597-nucleotide ribosomal RNA is filed under the name Phialomyces humicoloides. Its description in RNAcentral is "eukaryotic LSU rRNA". It matches the Rfam family "Eukaryotic large subunit ribosomal RNA", at positions 37 to 649 of the family's 3401-position model. The record is from RNAcentral. Lineage: Eukaryota; Fungi; Ascomycota; Eurotiomycetes; Eurotiales; Aspergillaceae.
AGCAUAUCAAUAAGCGGAGGAAAAGAAACCAACCGGGAUUGCCUCAGUAACGGCGAGUGAAGCGGCAAGAGCUCAAAUUUGAAAUCUGGCCCCUCCGGGGUCCGAGUUGUAAUUUGCAGAGGAUGCUUCGGGUGCGGCCCCCGUCUAAGUGCCCUGGAACGGGCCGUCAUAGAGGGUGAGAAUCCCGUCUGGGACGGGGUGUCCGUGCCCGUGUGAAGCUCCUUCGACGAGUCGAGUUGUUUGGGAAUGCAGCUCUAAAUGGGUGGUAAAUUUCAUCUAAAGCUAAAUACUGGCCGGAGACCGAUAGCGCACAAGUAGAGUGAUCGAAAGAUGAAAAGCACUUUGAAAAGAGAGUUAAACAGCACGUGAAAUUGUUGAAAGGGAAGCGCUUGCGACCAGACUCGCCCGCGGGGUUCAGCCGGCCUUCGGGCCGGUGUACUUCCCCGCGGGCGGGCCAGCGUCGGUUUGGGCGGCCGGUCAAAGGCCUCCGGAAUGUGUCGCCCCCCGGGGCGUCUUAUAGCCGGAGGUGCAAUGCGGCCAGCCCGGACCGAGGAACGCGCUUCGGCACGGACGCUGGCAUAAUGGUCGUAAGCGACC